UGGGCCUCAGACUCACGCCUGACCUGAUUCAUGAGCCUGAUACAGUGGGCUGCACGAGGCAACCUAGGCUAGUCCAAACCUGAGGCCAGUAAGUGUGAAGGUCAGUGGUGUAUUGAUUUUCUAAAACCAGGCAAAUCUUGCCUGUGGUGUCUUUUAAAGCUCAACAAAAGGCAAAACAUACAAAGGAAACGAUUGAACAGAAGGGGAGACAUCAGGUUGGCUGAACAUUUUCUAGUGUUCUGCUUUGGCUUCCUGCAGUGUGAAACGAAAGGUUUGGAUUAAAUGGUCUCCAGGUCUGUUGGGGGCAUCCGUUUCUAUGAUUUGACUUCAUGUCCUGGGCUGCAGCAUCGUCUUACGGAGGCGAACACUGAGUGUUCCCUGAUGCCGGUGUAGCACCAUUCCCACACGGUAACGGCCUGCUCUGCUUUCGUAACCCCCUUGGAGAGAGGUGUCACCUCCCUGUCCUCUUUCCUCCAGGAAUUCUGUUAUGUGCCAGACCUCAGGAGGUCAUUUUCAAAAUCCACAUCUCAGAAAAAACAUAGGCCUUUGGUGACCACAGUGUUGAGGGAGCCUGGCAGAGGCUUUGCCAGGAGCCACACUGUUGAUCCUGGCAGAGUUUCUGCCCUGAUGUGGACAGGGCCUGGGAGACCAGCCUCCCUGGCUCCCACUCCCUGACCCUGCUCCCCUGCUGGGCAGUAAGGCCUGGGUUUCUGAGACUCCCAGUGGGAGCCAGGCAGCUUGCCUCAGGCCAGGGGUUUGUGGCCUGUGCCCACGGCCUCCAAAGCCAGCCUUAAUGUGCUCAGCUGAGCUUGUGCCCACAGACCCACGGCUGGAAGAUGACUCAGGGCCAGCUGCAAUCAGACCCUGGGCCAGACUGGUCUUAUGAAAACUGGAAUAUUGCAGAUCACACCUAAAGCGUAUGUCAUAUAAAAUGAAUGUAGUGGGAGGACAUGAAGAAUUAACUGGGGUUCCCCACCUCUUUCCACUGCUAUGUCUUGCCAGUUGGACUGAGACCAGAGCCUGGCAUUGUCCCUCAGGCUGGAGAGGAGUGUCAAGAGGGAACUGAAGAACAAAGACAGCAGAUUCUGAGCUUUUAAUUUCAAAGACUUGGAUUCAGAGUGCAGCCUUGGGAAGAAGCUCCACGUCCGGUGUGUAUCUUUGAGGCCAAUAGACCUGAGGGAAACUCAUGGAGGCUCCAUCAGGCUCAGCCUCACCCCUCAAAGGGGUGUGGGAGAACACCCAAAGGUUUCAGUGGCCCACUGAGUAGGGCACGGAAGAGAGCAGACAGAGAGAGCCUACAACCCCUGGGAGCCAUGGCUGUCAGGUAGGGAGGGCACAGAGUAAGCUGCGUGGACCUGAAAGAUGGAGACCAGAAGUCCUUGGACAUGUCAGGAAAUGCCCAUGGGGCUGUGUGGAGAGCUGGCGGCAGCCAAGGGCCAUGAUGGGAGGACUGUGGGCAUCAUGGGAAUCAGGUGGACUGUUCUCCUCUGCAUGCCACACCCUCAGGUACACCCCUCAGCUCUUCUCUCUCUCAGUCCAGGGUUUUGGCCGUGAGUCUGUGUGGGUAAUCUUGUAUUUGUAUGUGUGUCAUCUUGUAUUUUGUUUGCUUACAAUUUUUUGAAAAUUAUACUUUAGCAUCCUUAGAGUCCCUCUCUAGACCUAAUAACUCACUUGGCAUAAAUAAGCAAACAAACUAAGCUGGCUCUAUCUAGCCCCGCUUAUUAGAAUGUGUGUGUGGGUACUUGUUGCCCUUCGUACUUGGUUGCAAUUCCAAGAGAGGAAACAUCUCACUUAAUAUCCUAUGUCAAGUAGGUAUUAUUUUUACCAUUUUACACAUGAAUAAAGUGUGGUUCAGAGAAGUAAAGUACAUUGCCCAAGCCCGCACAGCUAAUGGUAGCAGAGAUGGGAUUUGCACUCUGCAAGUUUCCCAAGACUCUGCUUUUCCGUCACAUCACACAAACUCCCUACUACUAGCCUAAGUCAAACAUCAAGUUGUAUAUGGAGAAAUAAUUCAACAUUGAAUAACCUUUCAGCACACACAUACAAACACAGAGAAAAGAAAAGAAAGAGUAGAAAGGAAAAUCUGCACUCAAUUCCAAACAAAACAAAACAAACUCAAACCCCAUAAAAUAAUAACUGCUUCCUUCCAUGCUUUAUCCACAGGCACCCCAAAUACAACAUGUCCCACACUGAGCUCAUGUCCUUUCUCCCACCCCAAUCUGCUCUUCCUCCUGUGUUUCUGAACUUGGUUGGUGGCAAUACCACCCAAACCAUGUCCCCUCAAAUUAGAAACCAAGUUGUCAUUUUUUACUUCUUUCUCUCUAACCCUCCUCUCCUUUAGUGCCAAACUAUUAGCCC
Molecule: long non-coding RNA, 2358 nt
Organism: Equus asinus (donkey)
Lineage: Eukaryota; Metazoa; Chordata; Mammalia; Perissodactyla; Equidae
Source: Ensembl